This is a long non-coding RNA of Hyaena hyaena (striped hyena), 552 nucleotides long. RefSeq lists it as uncharacterized. Lineage: Eukaryota; Metazoa; Chordata; Mammalia; Carnivora; Hyaenidae. The transcript has 5 exons. The record is from RefSeq and is a predicted model, not a curated record.
UCGGGCACAGCAGACUGUCUCCUCAACUAGACUGUGCACUUUUGGUUCCCUGUGACCCUUGCCUUUCAUCUCUGAUUCCAACAACGAGCUCAGGAGCUGGGACAUCACAGGGACUGCUCAGGAAAUGAAUCACUUGUUUGUCAUCCGGCACUGAGAAAAGCACCGUGUUAUCAGUAUAAACUGGAAACAGUCACUAUGGUGCUCUGAGACCUUCCCGGCAACACUGUUAAAUAGUGAUCCUCAAUCCAGCAGAAGUUACCUGGCCUGGCAUUGUCUCAGGGGGUUCUCACCACCCAUUAAACUAAAAGGCUAGAAGAUGAAAAUCAGGAAAAAUUGUGGAGUACAAAGCAACUCCUGACCCACAAGAGGAGUAUGAUGAGAAUUUAGAAAUGUGGGAUGCCUGCUAGAUGGAGAAAGAAAAUGAGCAGAGAAGAUUCACUGGGGUUUAAACGUCUGAACAGGCCAUCUAUAGGAAUUUCUUAGGGUGAAUUCCCAUUAGUGAGUAUGAUUUGUGAGCAGGCAAUCAUUAAAAUGUAAAAACUUUUGUGAGUA